AAAUAUUCAUAAUCCUCGCUGUAGACCGUUGGUGUCCCCGGACUUAAUGGCUUGUCCGCCAACCGAGGCCGGGGUGGCGGUAAUUUUGACGGAAAAUAUCUUUCCGGCAGGCCCCUGCUUUGUCAUCUACAGGGGCCUGCCUUUUUGUUAUUGAUU
Desulfotomaculum sp. is the source of this 156-nucleotide non-coding RNA. NCBI's taxonomy places the organism in Bacteria, Bacillati, Bacillota, Clostridia, Eubacteriales, Desulfotomaculaceae. The record is from Rfam.